CAAGGGGCGUUUCAACGAGGGCGCUGGCGGCAACAGCUUAGUGCUCAUCAACUAUUUAGAUAUGCGCUUAACACCCGCGGGGAAGCUCGCGUCUACCGGCUGGCAGGCACGGCGAGACGAGACGAGGCGCUUGUCGACGACGAGAGCAAAUCGUUCUUGGGCGGCCAAAAUGGAGACUGAUUUAAAAAAAAAAAAAAGAAGAGGGGGCCUUUCCAACCACUGAGGAGGAAGCAAUCCCACCCCCCAAGAGACUGACACAACUUUCAAAAGAAGGGGAGGUAUCAUCAGGAGAUCGUGCAGUGAGACAUUCUUCCAAAGGUAAAGUUGCCCAGAAAAGGCGACCCUGGACACAGAAAGAGGUGAAGGCUGUCGAGUAGCACAUGAAGCGAUUCAUCCCUUCUGGUAUUGUACCAGCAAAGAGGGACUGUUUAAAAUGUUUGAGGGCCGAACCGGAAGCUCUCCAAAACCGGGAAUGGCAAGCAUUGAAGUUCUAUGUGAACAACCGCAUUAAGGCCAACAAAAGGAGAUUGCAGGUAAAAUAGUAGAUUAAGAGAUAAUCAGCAAGACUGGUUAAGUAGAACUGUUUUUUUAUGUUCUUUAUGUUCAGUGUUGUUAAAAAUCCAUCCAUCCAUCCAUCCAUCUUCUUCCGCUUAUCCGAGGUCAGGUCGUGGGGGCAGCAGC
Molecule: long non-coding RNA, 681 nt
Organism: Nerophis lumbriciformis (worm pipefish)
Lineage: Eukaryota; Metazoa; Chordata; Actinopteri; Syngnathiformes; Syngnathidae
Source: RefSeq, a predicted model, not a curated record